AUGGGAGAAGCUUAGAUAUUCUUGGAACUCUUACAAGGCACAGCCAUAGUCGGCAUGGAUGCCGGCUAAGAUGCCACAGACCAUGGAUGGUCGGCUGGCAUCGGUGGCGUAAGCCGUGUUAAUGUAUAUUAAGAGUUCUUAGAAUAUCUUGGCUUCGUAC
Molecule: non-coding RNA, 160 nt
Filed under: human gut metagenome
Also listed under: 1 other name
Source: RNAcentral